Long non-coding RNA from Elaeis guineensis (African oil palm), 3219 nucleotides. RefSeq lists it as uncharacterized. The record is from RefSeq and is a predicted model, not a curated record. Lineage: Eukaryota; Viridiplantae; Streptophyta; Magnoliopsida; Arecales; Arecaceae.
UUGUAACUUACUACGACAAUUGUGACCGAGAGAAGAUAAGCUUGAUUGAGAUAUAGAACUUGAGCAAGGUUCUCGAUUAUCAAAAAAUUGAGCAGUUGUAUUAUUGAGUCCAUGGGCAAUCAAUGGAAGAGGGACUAUGGAUACAAUAAUGAUAUGGAUGUGUUGAAAAUGGAGGAUGCAAGCAACGUGAGCAAUGUAGCAAUCUACAUGGAGCAUGGUGGAGUUGAAAUUGAUUUGGAUCUAGUGGAGGCACCUCCUCCACUUCCAUCCACCCUGUAAGAUGAAGAAGCAGCAGCUGCUCAUCAUGUCCCAUAGGAUAGGGUUCGAGAGAAUUCUGGGGAGAAUGAGAUCUUAGUAAAUGUCAAUAUAGGAGAGAAAGGACAUGAGGUAACACAUGAAUGGGGGAGAAGGCCUCAUAGGAGUCCUCUAGAAGAAGAAGUGAAAGAAGAUAGUGGCAGUGGCAGUGAUGGCAACUUAUCCUUGAGUGACUUUUAAGUGAUGAUGAGGAAGAUGACCUCUUCGAGUAUUAUGUUGAUGACUCUAUUGUUGAGACGAGGUCCACAAGGAGUAGGAAGUACAAAUUGGAGAAGAAAUUGGGGAAGAAAUUAGAGAAGCAAAUGAGUUGAUUGUUGGGAAUUUUGAGUUACCUAAUAUUGAUGAUGUUAGAAGCUUGGGUAGCUCCCCAAAAAGAGAAGCUUCACAACAUUCUAGGUUUCUGGAGUUCAAUAAGGAAACCUAUUUUAGCAGGCCUACAGAGCUGAAGCUUGGCAUGCUUUUUGCCUCAAUGCAUGCAUUUACGAUGGCAUUGAGGCAGCACUCUAUACAAUAGUGUUUUGACUAUAUUUACAAGUACAAUGAGAUGGCAGAGUCACCAUGGUGUAUGAGAACUGUGGGUGGAGGAUUCAUGUCUCACCCUUCCAAAAGGUAGAGAUAUAUCAAAUUAAAAAAUUUGAGCCUACUCAUACAUGUAGCAGACAUUUUGAGUAUGAACUCCAGAUGGCUAUCUCAGAACUACAUGGAGGAUAUCAAGUUUGAUACCAAUGGGAGUAUUCAAGAUUUUAUGGCACAAGUGAAGAGGGAAAUGUAAUUACAAAUUUCUAAGGUCCAAGCAUACAAGGCUAAGGAAAAGGCACUUAUAGCCAUUCAUGGGUCACACAAAGAGCAGUAUGGGAAGCUAUAGGGGUGUUGUGAUAUCAUCAGGAAGACAAACCUAGGUAACAUGACACUUAUAGGAACCUUGCCUAGGGAAGGAGAGUAACCCAUCUCUUCCAAAGACAGUAUGAAUGUAGAUCCAUUAUGAGCUUGGAUGGGUGCCAUUUGAAGGGUGCCAUGGAGGGCAACUGCUGGCAGUUAUUAGGAGCGAUGGCAAUGAUGACAUACGGGGAUGGUGGAGGAAAGGAUGGAAUUUCAUAUCUGAUAGGAAGAGGAGGCUUAGUUAUUCAUUUUUCAUCAUAUUAGCUUUAAAGUACUAAUUUUGUUGGUUUGUUGUGUAAUAUUUUUUUGCAGGGGUUAGUGGAGACCUUUAACUCCAUUAUGCCUAAAUGCUGAUCAUAGAUUUGGGUGAGAUAUUUACAUGCCAAUUUUUGGAAGCUGUGGAAGGGAAAAAACUUUAAAGAUGCACUAUAUGCAGCGGAAAGGGUUUGAAUUGUCCUUGAGUUUCAAGUUAAAAUGAAAGCUGUGGCUUAUUUGGACUCCAAAGUAGCUAAUGUUUACUUAGCACGGUUUAUUUUUGUGGUGUAGACAUGCAUUCAGCACUAGACUAAGGUGUAAGGCUUAUAUAUUGUAUCCCUUAGCAUAUUGGCCUCACUUGUUGUGUAAUCUUUUUAUGUGUGAUAUGAUUUUGAACAAUAUAUAUGAAUGUGUCAAUAGUCAUAUUAUGAAAGCUAGGGACAAGCCUGGUAUAACUUUAUUGGAGAUAAUAAAAAUGCAUCUUAUGCAAUACUUCCAGUCUAGGAGAUGGGCUUUGCAGAGAUAUAGCAGUCCAAUAUGUCCUAAAGUCCAGAAGAAGGUAGUGUUAGCUAAGCCACAUACCAUGGAUUGCCAUGUUAGGUGGGGUGGUGGAGGCAGUUUUGAGGUUGAUCAUCCAGAUGGCACUUCUGUAGUUGACUUAGAGAGGAGAAUCUGUGGAUGUUGAAAGUUUGUUCUCAUUAGAAUCCUCUAUUGCCAUGUAGCUGCAGCUAUCAUACUUUCAAAGGAGGAGGUAGAGCAUUUUGUAGACCAUGGUACUCUAAGGAUAUGUUCUUUAAAGUCUAUGAGCUAGUUAUUAAGCCUGGUAUUCAGUUUUAGAAGUCCUCACAACUUGAUUCGGUAGCUACAGCCCCACUGAGGCGGCCAACUGGUAAGCCAAGGAAGUGCAAAAGAAGGGAGGAUGAUGAAGUGCAGGACCUAUAUAGAAUCAGAAGAAGUGGGUCCUCUCUUAAAUAUAGCAAUUGCUUGAGUAGGACUACAAUGCUAGACCAUACAAAGAUCCUAAGAAGGGCAGACCUCUUGGAAAAUAAGUGGCCCAAAAGAGAGAAGGUUCUUCAAGCCAAAAUGCUAAGGCAGCAUGUGGGUUAGGUGCUAAAAGGAGGAGGUUUAGAAAAAAAAGGAAAUCUCAUCAGAAGGUAAGCAAUGCUACAUAGUACAUCCUUUUAAGUGUUUGGUUUUUUAAAAAAUAUUGACACUUGGUUUCUAAUUUCAGGUGGCACACUCUAAACAACAAUCAGGCACAUCAAAUGAACCUAAGGCUGCAAAAAAUCCAAGUGUGCCACCACAACAGUAGAAUAUUACCUCACGGAGACAUUUUGAGAUUACAAGUAAAGAUGUCCCAGGAUACGCAUGGAGGUGACAAUAUUGCACAAUAAAUAACCAGUAUAUAGAGCAACAACAGCCUUUAGGAGCAGCGGAGUUGUAACAGCCUAGGCUGCAGCAUUAGCAACACUAGGAGCAACUUCAGUAGUAGCAUUAGCACCAGCAACAGUAGCAGCAUCCUCAAAAAGUCAGACUCAAACCUCUCAAUGGCCUUCAUGGAGUAUUGAUGCUCUUUUGUGUCAUUUUGAUACCAUUUUGUUCCUUUUUUUUUCUCGUGACGUUUGAUCCCAUUUUGUACAGCUGGAUGUCAUAAUUUGUGGUACCAUUUAAUACACUUUGUGAUACUUUGGGUAUAUGGACGGUUGAAUGUAACAAUGGAUGUGACAAUUUAAUGUAAUGGUGAACAUGAAAUGUGAUAUUUUUGUUUCA